AGCAGCCGCGGUAAUUCCAGCUCCAAUAGCGUAUAUUAAAGUUGUUGCAGUUAAAAAGCUCGUAGUUGAAUUUCGGGAUCAGUACGUCGGUCGUGCCUUCGGUAUGCACUGGUGUCACUGGUUCCUCCCUUCUGACGAACCGUCAUGCCAUUAAUUUGGUGUGGCGGGAAAUCAGGACUGUUACUUUGAAAAAAUUAGAGUGUUUAAAGCAGGCUCACGCUUGAAUACAUUAGCAUGGAUAAUGAAAUAGGACGUUGAUCUUAUUUUGUUGGUUUCUAGGAUUGACGUAAUGAUUAAUAGGGAUAGUUGGGGGCAUUAGUAUUCAAUUGUCAGAGGUGAAAUUCUUGGAUUUAUUGAAGACUAACUACUGCGAAAGCAUUUGCCAAGGAUGUUUUCAUUAAUCAAGAACGAAAGUUAGGGGAUCGAAGACGAUCAGAUACCGUCGUAGUCUUAACCAUAAACUAUGCCGACUAGGGAUCGGAUGAUGUAAUUUUUAAUGA
This 500-nucleotide ribosomal RNA is filed under the name uncultured Glomus. Its description in RNAcentral is "SSU rRNA". It matches the Rfam family "Eukaryotic small subunit ribosomal RNA", at positions 569 to 1075 of the family's 1831-position model. The record is from RNAcentral. Lineage: Eukaryota; Fungi; Glomeromycota; Glomeromycetes; Glomerales; Glomeraceae.